Molecule: ribosomal RNA, 301 nt
Filed under: uncultured bacterium
Lineage: Bacteria
Description: partial 16S ribosomal RNA
Rfam family: Bacterial small subunit ribosomal RNA
Source: RNAcentral
CAGUCGCCGCGGUAAUACGAAGGGUGCAAGCGUUAAUCGGAAUUACUGGGCGUAAAGCGUGCGUAGGCGGUGAGUUAAGUCUGCUGUGAAAUCCCCGGGCUCAACCUGGGAAUGGCAGUGGAUACUGGCUCGCUAGAGUGUGUCAGAGGAUGGUGGAAUUCCCGGUGUAGCGGUGAAAUGCGUAGAGAUCGGGAGGAACAUCAGUGGCGAAGGCGGCCCCCUGGGCCAACACUGACGCUCAUGCACGAAAGCGUGGGGAGCAAACAGGAUUAGAUACCCGUGUAGUCCCUGUCUCUUAUAA